Molecule: ribosomal RNA, 492 nt
Filed under: uncultured bacterium
Lineage: Bacteria
Description: partial 16S ribosomal RNA
Rfam family: Bacterial small subunit ribosomal RNA
Source: RNAcentral
CGUGAACGCUGGCGGUAGGCCUAACACAUGCAAGUCGAGCGGCAGCACAGUUAGUGUUUGUUUUUACGGGUGGCGAGUGGCGGGCGGGUGAGGAAUAGAUCGGAAUCUCCUUAUCCGUGGGGGUUCACCUAGGGAAACCUACGCUAAUACCGCAAUUGCACUACGGGUGAAAGCCGCGCAUCUUCGGAUCUUGCGCUAUCGAGUGUGCCGAUGUCGGAUUAGCUAGUUGGGGGGGCAACGGCCCACCAAGGCGACGAUCCGUAGCUGGUCUGAGCGGAUGUUCUGCCACACCGGAACGGAGACACGGCCCAGACUCCAACGGGAGGCAGCAGUGGGGCAUAGUGGACAAUGGGAGGAAGCCUGGUCCGGCCAUGCCGCGUGGGUGAAGAAGGCAUGCGGGUAGUAAAGCCCUUUUGUUGGGAAAGAAAAUCAGCAGGUAAAACCCCCGCUGUCCUGACGGUACCCAAUGAAUGAGCACCGGCUAACUUCGUG